This 453-nucleotide ribosomal RNA is filed under the name uncultured bacterium. RNAcentral's name for it is "bacterial SSU rRNA". It matches the Rfam family "Bacterial small subunit ribosomal RNA", at positions 340 to 786 of the family's 1533-position model. The record is from RNAcentral.
UACGGAAGGCAGCAGUGGGGAAUAUUGCACAAUGGGCGCAAGCCUGAUGCAGCCAUGCCGCGUGUAUGAAGAAGGCCUUCGGGUUGUAAAGUACUUUCAGCGGGGAGGAAGGCGGUGGAGUUAAUAGCUUCACCGAUUGACGUUACCCGCAGAAGAAGCACCGGCUAACUCCGUGCCAGCAGCCGCGGUAAUACGGAGGGUGCAAGCGUUAAUCGGAAUUACUGGGCGUAAAGCGCACGCAGGCGGUCUGUCAAGUCGGAUGUGAAAUCCCCGGGCUUAACCUGGGAACUGCAUUCGAAACUGGCAGGCUAGAGUCUUGUAGAGGGGGUAGAAUUCCAGGUGUAGCGGUGAAAUGCGUAGAGAUCUGGAGGAAUCCGGUGGCGAAGGCGGCCCCUGGGACAAAGCUGACGCUCAGGUGCGAAAGCGUGGGGAGCAAACGAGGAUUAGGAUACC